RNAcentral lists this ribosomal RNA (468 nucleotides) under uncultured bacterium. Its description in RNAcentral is "partial 16S ribosomal RNA". It matches the Rfam family "Bacterial small subunit ribosomal RNA", at positions 28 to 507 of the family's 1533-position model. The record is from RNAcentral.
GACGAACGCUGGCGGCGUGCUUAACACAUGCAAGUCGAACGGAAAGGCCCUGCUUUUGUGGGGUGCUCGAGUGGCGAACGGGUGAGUAACACGUGAGUAACCUGCCCUUGACUUUGGGUUAACUUAAGGAAACUGGGGCUAAUACCGGAAAGGACCUCUUCCUGAAUGGUGGGGGUUGGAAAGUUUCGGCGGUUGGGGAUGGACUCGCGGCUUAUCAGCUUGUUGGUGGGGUAGUGGCUUACCAAGGCUUUGACGGGUAGCCGGCCUGAGAGGGUGACCGGCCACAUUGGGACUGAGAUACGGCCCAGACUCCUACGGGAGGCAGCAGUGGGGAAUAUUGCACAAUGGGCGGAAGCCUGAUGCAGCAACGCCGCGUGCGGGAUGACGGCCUUCGGGUUGUAAACCGCUUUCGCCUGUGACGAAGCGUGAGUGACGGUAAUGGGUAAAGAAGCACCGGCUAACUACGUG